This 437-nucleotide ribosomal RNA is filed under the name uncultured bacterium. Its description in RNAcentral is "partial 16S ribosomal RNA". It matches the Rfam family "Bacterial small subunit ribosomal RNA", at positions 28 to 507 of the family's 1533-position model. The record is from RNAcentral.
AGCGAACGCUGGCGGCAUGCUUAACACAUGCAAGUCGCGCGGGUGGUUUCGGCCAUCAGCGGCGGACGGGUGAGUAUCGCGUAGGAAUGUAUCCCGAGGUGGGGGACAACCCUGGGAAACUGGGGCUAAUACCGCAUGGGGCCUGUGGGUCAAAGCCUUAGGGCGCCUUGGGAGCAGCCUGCGUCCGAUUAGGUAGUUGGUGGGGUAAAGGCCUACCAAGCCUGCGAUCGGUAGCUGGUCUGAGAGGACGAUCAGCCACACUGGGACUGAGACACGGUCCAGACUCCUACGGGAGGCAGCAGUGGGGAAUAUUGGACAAUGGGCGCAAGCCUGAUCCAGCAAUGCCGCGUGGGUGAAGAAGGUCUUCGGAUUGUAAAGCCCUUUCGGCGGGGACGAUGAUGACGGUACCCGCAGAAGAAGCCCCGGCUAACUUCGUG